This 27-nucleotide small RNA is filed under the name Bombyx mori (domestic silkworm). Its description in RNAcentral is "ovarian small RNA-22246". Lineage: Eukaryota; Metazoa; Arthropoda; Insecta; Lepidoptera; Bombycidae. The record is from RNAcentral.
UAGCACUAAUCUAUUUGUAUGGGCAAC